Long non-coding RNA from Bacillus rossius redtenbacheri, 4469 nucleotides. RefSeq lists it as uncharacterized. The transcript is spliced from 3 exons. The record is from RefSeq and is a predicted model, not a curated record. NCBI's taxonomy places the organism in Eukaryota, Metazoa, Arthropoda, Insecta, Phasmatodea, Bacillidae.
AUUUUUUUCUUCGGUUGUUAGGUUACUGCACAUGCGUGCAUUUAUUAUUGUUCGGUAGAGGUUUGUUGUUACAGCAAUUUUCGGUUUCUGUUUCAACCUGAUACUGAUACAAGAAAAAAAGACAAAAAUUGAAUACUACUACUGCGAUUCAGUAUGAAGAGAGAAAAAUGAAGUAGGUACAUUAAUUAACACCUAAAUGGUUCAGGUGUCCAUAAUGCUGGCUGCAAGUUAUUGCUCACCACAGAACCUGACGUGAGAUUCCAGUGCCCCGUGGAACUUCGGGCCUGCAAGGACGAAGGGCAUGCCAUCUUCUUCAUUGAUAAAUCCUGUUUUCGCUUGGAGCACCAUGAUGGUCGCACAGCUGGCCAAGACUUGCAUGAUGCAGUGUCAUGCCAGCACAGAACUUGAAUUAAUGGUUUAGCACUGAAGUCUUGCAAAAAGUUAGUUAAACAUAUGUAUGGAUGUUUUCCGUUUGUACAGUACCUAAGCCAGACAUCAAGUUUUCUCGCACUAUUGUGUUUGGUUUUUUCAUUUGCUGAUUUGAUUCAAUUUUUCUCUUUUUAGUAGAGUACAGCCUGUUUUGUUUCUGCACCCUCUUGUUGCUUGGUUCUUGACAUUGUGGUCUUAGGUUUUCUGUGGGCAGCUUCUCUUUGAUUAUGCUAAGACAGCUUCAUAACCAUUUGUCAAUUUUCGUGGUGGUUUCAGUGUCAAUGUGUUGUCCAACUGUGUCGAGAUAUGCUAUCAAUAAUUCACAUUUACAUUUUAUUGCAUCUGUCAUUUGAAGACUUUGCUACAGAAGUGCUGAUAUGAACUGCAUGAUUACUGUAGAAGUGUUUAUUUGAUAGUUGUGCCUUAUCUCUCUUGAUUUUGUGUAGAUAAAUUGUGCACAGGCAUGAAUAUGUUUGAAAAUGUUAAACUUAAUUAUGUUAUCAUUGCAAGUGCAAGUGAACAUGUGCACACACAUAUUACAGUCCUUGCAUUUAAACUUGCACUUGCCUUCACAUGCCAGCUCAUCCUGUUUUGUGAUUAAGUACAAAUCAUUUGAUUGACAUGAUUUUACCUCCCAGUACUUACCUAAUUCAAUGACAGAAAUCAUUGAUGCUGUAUAUAUGUGUGCUCCUGGUGUGAGCUUUCUGAAUGGCUGCUAUCCGACUUGUUGGUUUAUUUUUUUCUGACUUGAUGAGGCGUUCAAAAAGUUUAUCCCUGCACAAUUUCAUUAGCGCCGAUAUGCAUUUAUCAAGUUGCUUGUUCUUCCUACCUUGCAGGUAGAUAUAUUUAAUGACUUUGUGCAGGGAUUCCAGAUACAUGUUUGUAUUUAUGCGUGAUCUUUGGGUGUCUUUUCUGUUUGAUAUAUAACAAAUUCUGUUGGAAAUCCAGCUCCAAAUUCAUCAACUGUUAAUAGAGUGGUUAAAUAAAAAUCGUAACCAGUUGUUGAAUGGGUACUAUUUAUGCAGAUUUUAUUUUUUCCAAACUGUCAGCAUUUAGUUUUGGAAUGUGGUCAUGAUCACUAGGGCAAAAUCAUCUUUUGACAACCCCUCUUGGUGGUCUUCAUCACCUUGUAGUUUGUAAAAUAUUACCGGGUUUUCUUCACCCAACUGUUCCAUAGAUUUUAUCCAUAUAUCUAUGCUGACUGCAUCAUCAGGGUGUUGAUUCUCUUUUUCCAGUUGGAAUUCUCUAGUAAUAUUUCACAGAUCAUGUUUGGUGAUCAGAUGAAUUCUUUCAAAAGAUUUGCUGUAACUGUUUCUGAUAUCAUCAAGUAUAUGAUCAAACCCGUGGAAAGAGGAAAAUAUGUUAUUUCAGUACCAUGUAUAAGUAACAGUAGAAUGCAGUGGUGACUUUGUAAAGCAACAGUAACUAUUUAUAUGUUCGGAGAAAUGGGCAUACUCUUAACUUAAAUGUGGGUUACUGAAAUUUUGUACUCUCUUUGAUACUUCUAAAACAGAAUUUGCAUACUGAUUCAACCAGUAUAUUGUUUUUAAAAUACAUAUGUAGUAAUACUGCAACCAGGAACCACAUUAUGCUUUGCUAAAUGUCUAGUGUUGAUGUCAAAUAUUGAAAUAAGUUUUUGUGUAGUUCAGGUUGUGUUGUUUUGUGUUGAGACCAUGUUGUAUUGGCCAUAGUUAAAUUAAUUGUAUAGUUACUUAAUUUAAAAAAUUUUUAAUUAUUCAACUACAGUAAACUCUCGCAAAUCCGUGGGUGUCGGGAUUUAUGACCUUCGGAUUUUUGAAAACUUCGGAUUUUUGAAAAAUUUUCAUUAAAAUACAAAAAAAAAUUCUAAAAGAUAAGAUGGUAGUCAAUGAACAUGUAAUACUACCACAGGACGUCAUAAUAAACAAGACACUUGAGAAGUUAACAGAAUGGUACGUAAGCAAUACCAGUAUAGUCCAUUCAUAGUAAAUGAAGCACCCGAGAAAUUUUUUUUCCUGAAAAUUUACAGCCUGGCCUGAUUAAAUUUAACACACCCAUUUGUUCAAGUUGGUAGUAAAUUGUGUAAAAAGUAAUUUAAAGUCAUCUUAAAUUAAAUUAAUGGCACCCGAAGUCGCACUUUGAUGUGAAAGAGCUAGGCGUAGCAAUGUGGCGUGCGCUGAAACGGGAAGCCCCUUGAUAAGGGGAAGUGAAUUUAGGAGGGGCGGGAGAGAGAAGCGAUACGUAGCUGGCAAGAGACUCAAGGCCACUCCCUCACAGACACACGGCCAGUCCAGUUAAACUAAAGAGAAACGGGAGAAAUAAAAAAAAAAAUCAUUAGUUAAUUGUACACUAGAACCAUCAAAAAAUCUGAAAUUUUGGCACAAAACAAAAAUAAUCGGGGAAAAAAUGGUAAAACUCACAAUAAAAGCUUAUACAAAGCUAUUAUUUAACAUGCAGCAUAUAUUUUGUGUUGGUUUAUAGUGCACUUACUAAUGUUCGUAUAAGAAGAGAAAAAAAAUUGGACAGUCCGUUUAAAAACACGGCAGCAGUAGCUUGUGCGACGUAAGUGGGAGUGCGAGAAUCUCGUCUAGACAGGCUGGCGGCUGCAAAGGCAGCGGAUGCAUGACGUCAUACGGCUUACCUCUCCCUCCCAGACAACAAACCAUCUCUCUCCCUCUCUCCAGCCCUCUAGCCAUUUUCUGCGUGUGAAACUGUCAACAUCCUUCCUCCCCUACUCCACACUGCAUGCGACGAAAGCCAGGUUGUAUAGUCCAUUCCCGGUAAAAUGAACAUUUUUUAAGGCCCCCCACGGCAGCCAUUUACCGUUAAUUUUUUGAUACAAUUUGUUUGUUAGUUACAGAACAUUAUUUCUGCUGGAAAAUCUCUGAAACUUCAAAAUUUCUUUAAUGGAAAAAUUUAGCAGGGCGGUUAGAGUAUUUAUUUUUACCGCAAAUGAACUAUACUCACCUUCCCUCCGGCCAGCAUUCCCGGCGUGUGACGCAUGACAACUACAGUCGUGUGCCGCGCACAGCUAGGAAACUUGUCACUGGCAACAUGUUUCACACACUGACACACGGUGCCCAGAGCUUCAGGAAAACCUACGCGAUUUCCAACCUACUCUAAAUAUUCGACUGGAGUCUGUUUACGAAAAGCAUUUAAGAAUUUGCUAAUGCCCAACUGUUUUUUUUUAUAUCGGAUUAAGAGGAGUUAAAAUGGCUAAAAGGCAUGGUUUUGAAGUUUUAGGUGUAAAAAACCGUUAAAAAAUUUCUUGAAAGCACCAGAGGAAAAGGCAUUACACCUUUAUCUUUAUUUUCCCGCCAUAUAAUGUUACGGUCACCGCUCAAAUUUCACAGUUAUCUGACGGGAACGAGAUGACUGCGUGCCAGUUCAGAGCCUUUUACCGCGCUAUAAAUAUCAGUGAGCGUCGCUCUUACCAUCCACUGAGAAUAGUGAUACAUACAUCUAAACAGUAACGAUCAUGUCACUUCGGAAAUACCCCGGAUUUCUGAGAACUUCGGAUUCUCGGGCCACGGACUGGCGAGAGUUUACUGUAUUUCACUAAAAUAUUUUAAGAUAGUAAAAUAUAUUUCUUUCUGUUUAAUGCUGUACAUUCUUAAUAUUUGUAAUUUACAUGUUUUUGCUCUGUUCUUCAGCCCACCAAGUUUAGUAGAUAUACUAAGGUAUGGUUUAUAAAUUAUGUAAGUACAAAGAACUUAAAUGAAAAUUCAUUGAAUUUAAUGAACAUUGUAACUAGUACAUAAAUAUGAACUGUUGUCAACCAGGGCUAUGCCCUCCCUAAGCCCGAUGUGCCUCAUGCCGCUGCAGAACCCCUCUCUCCCCAUCGACACCCUCUAACUCAAACCUCCCGCUAACAAGUGCGUGUGUGCGGCGCUCACCUGAACUUGAGCAAUGGAGACUUCAUCUUUUUAAAUAAUGUAGUUAAUAAUUAAAUAACUACCCACACAGUAUCUUGGCCAGCAUGAAAGUUGGACUACUUGCUGUUUUUUUGUAUGCAUUGUCAGUGUACGUGUCGGCGGCAAUAAAACUUAAUAUUCACCCGA